UGGGAAGUCGGACUCCGACCUCUGUCCUCAGCCCUGUCCAGACCGCCCACGUGCGGACAGCGCUCAGCUCGGGGCUGGGGCGGGUAUCUUCAGAAACAGCUACUGGUUUGGAGUCCACCCCAGAGCCCCAGGUGCAUCCCGAAAUCUGGCCCCAGGCUGCACUGAAACAUGCAGGUGGUUGUGCCUGGUACCAACGGGACUCCUUCCCUGCAAGUAUUGGCAAACAGAAAACCAACGAUAUUGUAACUAAACUAAACUAAACAAUUUUGCUUUGAAUAAUGGGAUGAUUGAUGGCAGUUUCUGUGCAGUUUUAUGACAGAAAAGAAUUGGCAGGACAUAAGGGUUUUUCCUUGACUUGGCACGUGCUCUGUGAGGUGCCCUUGAGCAUACAAUUCCCCGGUUUCACUGUUUGAACUUGUGAAAUAUGGACAAUAGGGUUAUUUCCUUCUGCUUAAUAAGAUGAGUGAGGCAAAUGUUUGCAAGAUGUCUUGAGAAGUUUGCUGGAAAUUUUAAGACAAAUUCUUCCGAAAUAAUUUUCUCAAAACCCCAGUUUAUUGAAUUCCCUAGCACAAAAAUUAAAUGCAAUUCCAAAAUGAUGUUAAAAAAGAGAAAGGUUUCAAUUCCAUAAUAUGCCAUAAACCCUGUCAUAAACAUUGGAGGUGGCCUUGUCUAGCUGAGGCCAUGGAAACUAUGUCCUAAUCGAAUUGUUUCUUUCCAUUUCCCUAACUUUAGAUCAACAGAAAUAUGCAGUUCACUUCAUAAUGACAUUUAUUCAAGGUUAUGAUAACAAACUAACUGUCUCUCCCAGUGAUGCAUACGUUCUGGUGCUUUCCAGCCCAAGGCCUACUUGCUUGCUUUUCUUUCAAACCUCAUUCAUUCUCAGUCUUCUCAGCCAGAAAGUUCAUGCUUCAGAACUGAAGGUGGCCUGGUGGUUUUUACCUCUGACCUCCAGCAAGUACUACAAACAAGAAAAGAUUCUGAAGAAUCAAUCAAGCUUUCUGCCGAGGCAGAGUAACACCUUUGU
RNAcentral lists this long non-coding RNA (1024 nucleotides) under Canis lupus familiaris (dog). Its description in RNAcentral is "lncRNA (ENSCAFG00040012884.1)". The record is from RNAcentral. Lineage: Eukaryota; Metazoa; Chordata; Mammalia; Carnivora; Canidae.